RNAcentral lists this ribosomal RNA (362 nucleotides) under Leptodius affinis. RNAcentral describes it as "partial small subunit ribosomal RNA". Lineage: Eukaryota; Metazoa; Arthropoda; Malacostraca; Decapoda; Xanthidae. The record is from RNAcentral.
UAUUAUACUGAUACAUAUAGAUAAUCCUAAAUUAUUAAUAGAUAUAGUCUUUAAAUUUGAAGAAUUUGGCGGUGAUUUAGUCUUGUUAGAGGAACCUGUUUUUGAAUCGAUACACCACGUUAAAUUUUACUUGCUUUACUAAGUUUGUAUACCGUCAUUAGCAGAUAAUUUUCAAAGAAUAAAUUAUUAAAUUUUAUAAAUAUAAGUAAACUUAGAUCAAGGUGCAGCUGAUAAGUAAGUUAAAAUGGGUUACAAUAAAAUUUAUUUAUUACGGUAUUAAAUUAUAAGAAACGGUAUUAUGAAGGAGGAUUUAAUUGUAAUGUAAGUUUAAUAAGCUUAUAAGAUAUAAAGCUCUAAAUCAU